Molecule: ribosomal RNA, 459 nt
Filed under: uncultured bacterium
Lineage: Bacteria
Description: partial 16S ribosomal RNA
Rfam family: Bacterial small subunit ribosomal RNA
Source: RNAcentral
CCUACGGGCGGCAGCAGUGAGGAAUAUUGGUCAAUGGCCGGAAGGCUGAACCAGCCAAGCCGCGUGAAGGACGAAGGUGCCAAGCAUUGUAAACUUCUUUUGUCAAGGGACAAAAUCAGGCUCGAGAGCCUGACCGAGGGUACUUGAAGAAAAAGCAUCGGCAAACUCCGUUCCAGCAGCCGCGGUAAUACGGAGGAUGCGAGCGUUAUACGGAUUGAUGGGGUUUAAGGGGUGGGUAGGCGGGCUGUUAAGUCAGCGGUAAAAUCCCGGGGCUAAACCCCGGCGAGCCGUUGAAACUGGCUGUCUUGAGAGGGCGAGAGGUAUGCGGAAUGCGAAGUGUAGCGGUGAAAUGCUUAGAUAUUGCGCAGAACUCCGAGUGCGAAGGCAGCAUACCGGCGGCGAACUGACGCUGAGGCACGAAAGCGUGGGUAUCGAACAGGAUUAGAUACCCGGGUAGUC